AUGCGAGUAGAUGAAUUAGAUUCAUUGCAAACUGCUCAGUAACACGUGGAUAACCUGCCCUAUGCUCUGGAAUAACCUCGGGAAACUGAGAAUAAUACCGGAUAGAUCACAACGCCUGGAACGGUGUGUGGUUGAAAGAUUACGGCAUAGGAUGGGUCUGCGGCGUAUCAGGUCGUAGGGGGUGUAAUGGACCCCCUAGCCAUCGACGCGUACGGGUGUUGGGAGACAUAGCCCGGAGACGGAUUCUGAGACACGAAUCCGGACCCUACGGGGUGCAGCAGGCGCGAAAACUUCACACUGCAGGAAACUGUGAUGAGGGAACUCCAAGUGGAUGCACAUAGUGUAUCUCUUUUCUUUACUAUUAAUCGGUAUUGGAAUAAGGGCUGGGAAAGACCGGUGCCAGCCGCCGCGGUAAUACCGGCAGCUCGAGUGGUCGUCGCUUUUAUUGGGCCUAAAACGUCCGUAGCCGGUUUGGUAAAUCUGUGGGUAAAUCAACUAGCUUAACUAGUUGAAUUCUGCAGAGACUGCCAGACUAGGAACCGGGAGAGGUGUGGGGUACUCAAGGGGUAGGGGUAAAAUCCUGUCAUCCUUUGAGGACCACCAGUUGCGAAGGCGCCACACUGGAACGGAUUCGACGGUCAGGGACGAAGCCUAGGGGCACGAACCGGAUUAGAUACCCGGGUAGUCCUAGGUGUAAACGCUGUGAACUUGGUGUCGGGAGUCCGCAAUGGGCCCCCGGUGCCGGAGUGAAGAUGUUAAGUUCACUGCCUGGGGAGUACGGUCGCAAGGCUGAAACUUAAAGGAAUUGGCGGGGGAGCACUGCAACGCGAGGAGCGUGCGGUUUAAUUGGAUUCAACGCCGGAAAACUCACCAUGGCCGACUGUUAGAUGAAGACCAGCGUAAUGAGCUUGUCGGAUUUUCAGAGAGGUGGUGCAUGGCCGUCGUCAGUUCGUACUGUAAGCGUUCUGUUAAGUCAGAUAACGAACGAGACCCUCAUCUCUAUUUGCUACCCGUCUCUCCGGAGGCGGCGCACU
RNAcentral lists this ribosomal RNA (1034 nucleotides) under uncultured archaeon. RNAcentral describes it as "bacterial SSU rRNA". It matches the Rfam family "Archaeal small subunit ribosomal RNA", at positions 51 to 1095 of the family's 1478-position model. The record is from RNAcentral.